Molecule: ribosomal RNA, 519 nt
Filed under: uncultured bacterium
Lineage: Bacteria
Description: bacterial SSU rRNA
Rfam family: Bacterial small subunit ribosomal RNA
Source: RNAcentral
GAGUUUGAUCCUGGCUCAGAUUGAACGCUGGCGGCAGGCCUAACACAUGCAAGUCGAGCGGAAACGAUGGGAGCUUGCUCCCAGGCGUCGAGCGGCGGACGGGUGAGUAACACGUGGGAAUCUGCCCAUUAGUGGGGGAUAACUCGGGGAAACUCGAGCUAAUACCGCAUAAUCCCUACGGGGGAAAGCAGGGGACCUUCGGACCUUGCGCUGAUGGAUGAGCCCGCGUCGGAUUAGCUUGUUGGUGGGGUAAUGGCCCACCAAGGCGACGAUCCGUAACUGGUCUGAGAGGAUGGCCAGUCACACCGGGACUGAGACACGGCCCGGACUCCUACGGGAGGCAGCAGUGGGGAAUCUUGGACAAUGGGCGCAAGCCUGAUCCAGCCAUGCCGCGUGUGUGAAGAAGGCCUUCGGGUUGUAAAGCACUUUCAGUAGGGAGGAAGGCUUUGGGCUAAUACCCUGGAGUACUUGACGUUACCUACAGAAGAAGCACCGGCUAAUUUCGUGCCAGCAGCCGCG